Molecule: ribosomal RNA, 497 nt
Filed under: uncultured bacterium
Lineage: Bacteria
Description: partial 16S ribosomal RNA
Rfam family: Bacterial small subunit ribosomal RNA
Source: RNAcentral
GAUGAACGCUGGCGGCGUGCCUAAUACAUGCAAGUCGAGCGAACAGACGAGGAGCUUGCUCCUCUGACGUUAGCGGCGGACGGGGGAGGAACACGUGGAUAACCUAUCUAUAAGACUGGGGUAACUUCGGGGAACAGAGGCUAAGAACGGACAGUCAAUUUAAACGCCUUGUACAAUAGUAUAGGACGGGUUUCAUGACUAUCAUUACUAGCUCCGCGCCGCAUUAGCUAGUUGGUAAGGUAACGGCUUACCAAGGCAACGAUGCGUAGCCGACCUGAGAGGGUGAUCGGCCACACUGGAACUGAGACACGGUCCAGACUCCUACGGGAGGCAGCAGUAGGGAAUCUUCCGCAAUGGGCGAAAGCCUGACGGAGCAACGCCGCGUGAGUGAUGAAGGUCUUCGGAUCGUAAAACUCUGUUAUUAGGGAAGAACAAAUGUGUAAGUAACUAUGCACGUCUUGACGGUACCUAAUCAGAAAGCCACGGCUAACUACGUG